AAAACAUUUGAAAAUCAUUUUGAAUGUUGAGGACACUUGAGCGUAUCUUGUCCAUGUAUCCCCUGGGAGCAUCUGUUAUUCCGUUUUGCAGGUCGUCAACUGUGAGCAUUCUCCAGCAGUUAUUUCCCAGAAAGAAGCUUUUCUCCUAGCUAUGGAUUGGUUAGGUCGUCCCCAGCGGAGCAGUUAUUUCCCAGAGCAGAGUUCAUCCUACUUGUGGAUUGAUUGGGAUAUUCCCAGCAAAGUUGCCGGUUUU
Molecule: long non-coding RNA, 253 nt
Filed under: Lathyrus oleraceus (garden pea)
Lineage: Eukaryota; Viridiplantae; Streptophyta; Magnoliopsida; Fabales; Fabaceae
Description: Pisum sativum (pea) long non-coding RNA (PSAT_LNC041566)
Source: RNAcentral